This is a long non-coding RNA of Gopherus flavomarginatus (Mexican gopher tortoise), 1023 nucleotides long. RefSeq lists it as uncharacterized. NCBI's taxonomy places the organism in Eukaryota, Metazoa, Chordata, Testudines, Testudinidae. The transcript is spliced from 3 exons. The record is from RefSeq and is a predicted model, not a curated record.
UCCCCUCAGCUGCUCCAAGCAUUGCUCACUUCCUCUUUCGUUCCCACAGCCUGCCCGCCUCCUCCUGCUCCUGGUGCGGGGGGGAUGCUGGUUUUUCACCCAGCAGGCCCCUUGCUGGUCGUCGGAGGGGAUCCGAGGGGCAAGGACACGGUGCGAUGGGAGGGAGAGAGGGGUGUGGGGGUGGUCUGGGAUGUUACCCAUGUUCCGGGAUGCACUGGGGAUGUUCCCUGGGGAUUCCAGAGGAUACCCAGUAGGGGCUAUGGGGGGUACAGUGGAGUUUAUGGGACUAUGGGAGCUAAACAGUGGAUUGCUAUGGGGUGUGCAGUGCAGGUUAUCAGGGUCAUGGGAGAUACACAGUGCAGUGCCAUGGGGUGCACUAGAGGUUAUAGGAGAUACACGGAGGGAUGUGAUGGGGUGCACAAUAGGGUGUUAUGGGGCUGUGGGAGAUACACAGUGAGGUGCCAUGGGGUGCACUAGAGGUUAUAGGAGAUACACGUUGGGGUGUGAUGGGGUGCACAGUAGAUGUUAUGGGGCUGUAGGAGAUACACAGUGCAGUGCCAUGGGGUGCACAGUAGAUGUUAUGGGGCUGUAGGAGAUACACGGUGGGGUGCGAUGGGGUGCACACUAGAUGUUAUGGGGCUGUAGGAGAUACACGGUGGGGUGCGAUGGGGUGCACAGUAGGUGUUAUGGGGCUGUAGGAGAUACACAGUGGGGUGCGAUGGGGUGCACAGUAGAUGUUAUGGGGCUGUAGGAGAUACACAGUGGGGUGCGAUGGGGAGCACUAGAGGUUAUAGGAGAUACAUGGUGAGCGUGCGAUGGGGUGCACACUAGAUGUUAUGGGGCUGUAGGAGAUACACAGUGGGGUGCGAUGGGGUGCACACUAGAUGUUAUGGGGCUGUAGGAGAUACACAGUGGGGUGCGAUGGGGUGCACAGUAGAUGUUAUGGGGCUCUAGGAGAUACACAGUGGGGUGCGAUGGGGUGCACAGUAGGUGUUAUGGGGCUGUAGGAGAUACACGGUGGGG